UUUUGACGCUUUAAUAUACGCGAAGUCUAGAAAACUGACUUAGAUGUUGAAUUUUUUCAAGAUUUUUUGCAUGCAUGUUUAUGACAUUAAACUACAGUUUUCCACGAAAAAAAUUAGAAUUUUUCGACAAGGAAAUAAAUAAUUAUGAAUUUUUGUUUCUAAUAAUUAUUAAUUACUUAAACAAUUCAUAGUUAAUUUAUCCCUAGUUUAAAAAAUCUAAAAUUUAACGAUGAAGGUUCUUAUGCUAUUCUAACCAUACCUAAAAAAAUUAGAGAACAAAAUUUGAUCCGGGAGCAUAUGCUUACUACGAAUAAAAUUGCAAUUUUGCAAGUUUUGGUUACGAAAUCAAAUAAAUUGAGGUUUAUUCCAAAUGCUAUAAAACUUUGAUUAUCCUUUCUAAGUAUUUUAUAUAGAUGUCUUUACAAAUAUUUGGCAUAAAAUUCAAUUUUUAGGUCGAGAUUUUUGUUAAUUUCAUUUUUGAAUUUUUUCACUUUAAAAAUUUAUAAUUAAUUCGUCUCUUGUCGAAAAGUUAUAAUUUUUUGUGGAACGUCAUAUUUUAACAUCGUUAACAUGUCUGCAAAAAAAUCAUAAAAAAUUCAACUUUUCAGACACUUUUCUGGAUUACGUGUAUAUUAAAGGGUAAAAAAUAGAGUAAAUUACACUCCCCUCCCCUCAAAGAUGUUUGAAUUACACUCUCCUCCCUCUUAAGUUAAAAUAUACACUCCCCUCCACUCUUAUUCAAAACAUAUUAGAAAAAAUUUCACUUCCCUCCUCUAAGAGAAGCUUGAAUUACAUCCCCCUCUCCUCUUAUGUUAAAAUCUACACUUUACUCCCUCAAUAUUCAUUUUUAUUAUUUCUAAUAAUCUAGCAAAAAUAAUAAUUUAACACACUUAAAAAAAAAUAGUAUUGCGGGUCUAUUUUAAUAUAAUAAAAAAUUGAAUACAUAUUUUUCGCUAUUUUUUAUUCACAAUUUCAUUAACAUGUAGUUUUAAACCCUAUUAUAAAAUAUGAAACAACCCAAAACAAAAUUAAAAUAUGUGAAAAAUUACUAAAAUCAUUAAAGCAUGAUCAUUUAAAAGUUAAUUUUAUACUCUAAUUUAUAAAAUCAAUAGCAAUAUAUUUAAAUUUAAUUAUCAUUGACAUUUAAACUAUAAAUAAAUGAAUUAAUUUUUCUUAAAUGGUGAUUCAAAAUUAAUAUAUAUUUUAAGAAUAUUUAUUUAUGUUCAAAUAGAUUAAAGUGUAGUGCAUAUUUAAUUAUUAAAGGAGGAGUUUGUAAUUCAAGCAUCUUAUAAGGGAGGGAAGUAUAAAUUUUAACACAAAAAAAAUUAUUGAUGGAGUAAAGUGUAUAUUUUAACUUAAGAGGGGAGGGGAGUGUAAUUCAAGCAUCUUUGAGGGGAGGGGAGUGUAAUUUACUCUAAAAAAUAAGAAGAAUUUCAAAUU
This 1440-nucleotide long non-coding RNA is filed under the name Medicago truncatula (barrel medic). Its description in RNAcentral is "long non-coding RNA (MTRU_LNC004764)". The record is from RNAcentral. Lineage: Eukaryota; Viridiplantae; Streptophyta; Magnoliopsida; Fabales; Fabaceae.